This is a long non-coding RNA of Bubalus bubalis (water buffalo), 2287 nucleotides long. RefSeq lists it as uncharacterized. The transcript has 3 exons. NCBI's taxonomy places the organism in Eukaryota, Metazoa, Chordata, Mammalia, Artiodactyla, Bovidae. The record is from RefSeq and is a predicted model, not a curated record.
CCUCCUCCCGGCCGUCCGCUCCGGCGUCCUCAGGCUCGGCUGCGGACGCGGGGUCCUCAGCCGUGUCCCUGAGCCUGGUCACUCUCUCUCUUCGCGAGGGCUCUGCGGCUCAAGGCGGAACGGGGAGGCGGGGGCUGCGGUGGCCGUGUACUAGAUAGGAGGGCCGGCUUCCGUGGCAGCAGCGGCUUCGGCGCGGAGGUCCGCAACGGCCUCGGGCGCCCCACCGCUUCGGCUAUUUCCGUCGCCUGCCUGCUUCGGCUCUUCCCGCCCGGCCUGCGCUAUGCGCUUGCGCAGCCGCCGCCACCGCCCCACGUUGCUCCGCGCUGGGACUUGGGGAUCGGGCUCCUUCGGCUUGGUUCGGGUAUUUCCGUUCGUGCAGGCCGGGCCGGUCACUUCCGGGGACGCCCGCGAGUCCAGGAAGGAGGUGGGGGUGGGGGGGUGGUGGUGGCGGUGUCACCGCCAUAUUUAAGUGGGGCAGAUGCAGGCCACCUCACUUGCGGGCCGCUAUGCCCAUUCGCAGUCGUGGGGACAGCGGCGUAGGCGGGCCAAACAAGGGGCUUGUCCCCAAGGGGCCACAGACCGAGGCAGGGUUAAGGUCAGAGCCAGGAGCCAGGCCUAGAGUGUGUGACUCAGAACCAUCGGUGUCCCAUCUCAGGCCCAGAGAGCCCGCUCGCAGAGAGUUUGGUUGAGGUAAACUAACAAAUAAAACGUGUAUUGGGUAGUAUAACAGAGGGUAGUAUAACACUGGAGGUUUUCACGGGCUCACACACUUGGGGGCAGCCCUCCGCGAGGGUCUCGAGUUCCCCCGCAGGCGACCUCCGAACUUCCGCCGUCUGCGUGCGCGAGGUGGGCGGAGCCAGCCUCCCCUCCAAUCGCAGCUCAGCGUGCGUCGGAAGGCGGGAGCAGGCGGCGCGGAGCGGCUCUGCGACUUCAGGCUGUCACCAAGGACACCGUCAGGCGAAUGUUCUCCUGAUGAAAACACUGGCUGCACAGACGUUCCGUGGAGGGCAAAGGGAGCAGCCAGGACACCCGGUGGUGUGGAGCCCACGGUGGCUGAGGGAACCGGUAUUGGAAGCGGGGCCUGUGGUUGUCUGUAGGCGAGUGCAGCCCAAGGAAAGACCGGGGCUGCAGAGAAGACCCGCCGAGGAGCCGUAGGCAGAGGCGCCAGUGUGGCUGGAGAGAGCAGAGACUGCGCUGUGCUGAGAGAGGCAGGGCACUAGCUGCCCAGCAGGGUCCCCAGCUGAAAGCUGAGACAGCGGAAGGGGUGGCUGCCAGACCUCCUCUCAGCUUCAGUAUGCAGCACUGACAGAGCAUAAGAGAAGAACCUUAAAAAUACCUGGGGCAGCUCCAAAGUAAGAAAGGACUGUCCAGAGCUUGUGCACUGUGCUCGCAAGUGCUAAGGCUGUAGAGACCAGGUGGCUGAGGCCAGGUUCGGCCGUGAAGCAGGGGGUUGAGGACUUGGCCUGGGUGAGCCCAGUCCACCCACAGACCUUUGGUGUGUGAGCCUGCAGAGGGAUCUCCACUGAAUGGCUGGGGGCCCAGGUGAGUCUUCCAGUUUAGAGUCAUGAUGGACUGUGUGGCAGCCUGUCACCCAGGAUGAUGCUUAGUGUAGGGACAGUUGAGGAGGUCCCCGAGCCGUGAAGGGCAGGCUCUUCGCAGUGCAACCAGCGAGAGCACUUGCACCUCAGGAAACCAAGCUAGCUAACAAGUCCAGAAAUAACAUCAGGUAUGUCCAGGUUCUCAAAGGAUGGGUCAGCAUCCAUGAAGAAAGAAUGAGUUUGGGCCCUUUAUUGAUAAAAACAGCAAAUGGGGACUUCUGGGUAAUAAUAGUAUCUAUUUAAAUUGGUUUCAUUGUGAAGCAGCAGUAAAAACCACCAUAAAGGUUUUGUUUGGUUUUCUUCAAGGUAUAAAAUCCACAAAGAUGAAGAGGAAAGGAAAUAAAGCAACCCCUGGUAUUUCUACUCUGGAUGGCAGACCGAGCAAACAGUAACUGUGCAUCACUGUUGAUCUCAAAGGCUUGAAAAGUUCAGGGUUCGGAAGGACCAGGUCCCUCUGGCCAUGCAGCCAGGAUGCAGGCAAGAGGCUAGACAUGCCUUCUUAGGACACUCAGAGCGAAGAACUGAAGACCCUCACAGCAAGGGCGCCCGCUUCCACGCAGCCCAGCCAGGGUGCCCUAUGACUUCUUCAGUGGCAUCCAUGGUUGCUCCACCCACCCACUUAUGUCUCCCAAGAAGUGGGUCUCUGUGGGGAGCAAACUUCAUCUCUCCCAGCCGCCCUCUCUCACCUG